GGGUCAGUAGGUUGGUCGUGCCACCGGUACGUACUGGUCUCACUGGUUCCUCCUUCCUGAAGAACCGUAAUGCCAUUAAUUUGGUGUUGCGGGGAAACAGGACUGUUACUUUGAAAAAAUUAGAGUGUUUAAAGCAAGCUAACGCUUGAAUACAUUAGCAUGGAAUAAUGAAAUAGGACGAUCGAUCCUAUUUUGUUGGUCUCUAGGAUUGACGUA
RNAcentral lists this ribosomal RNA (216 nucleotides) under Glomeromycotina sp. Its description in RNAcentral is "partial small subunit ribosomal RNA". The stretch from base 47 to 216 matches the Rfam family "Eukaryotic small subunit ribosomal RNA", at positions 693 to 864 of the family's 1831-position model. The record is from RNAcentral. Lineage: Eukaryota; Fungi; Glomeromycota.